Molecule: ribosomal RNA, 253 nt
Filed under: uncultured bacterium
Lineage: Bacteria
Description: partial 16S ribosomal RNA
Rfam family: Bacterial small subunit ribosomal RNA
Source: RNAcentral
UACGGGGGGGGCAAGCGUUGUUCGGAAUUACUGGGCGUAAAGGGCUCGUAGGUGGCCAACUAAGUCAGACGUGAAAUCCCUCGGCUUAACCGGGGAACUGCGUCUGAUACUGGAUGGCUUGAGUUUGGGAGAGGGACGCGGAAUUCCAGGUGUAGCGGUGAAAUGCGUAGAUAUCGCUUGGAACGCCAGAGGUGAAAACAGGUUGCUGGGGAUGUUCUGACACUGAGACGCGAAAGCCAGGGGAGCGAACGGG